CUGGAGGUAUCAGAAGUGCGAAUGCUGACAUAAGUAACGAUAAAGCGGGUGAAAAGCCCGCUCGCCGGAAGACCAAGGGUUCCUGUCCAACGUUAAUCGGGGCAGGGUGAGUCGACCCCUAAGGCGAGGCCGAAAGGCGUAGUCGAUGGGAAACGGGUUAAUAUUCCCGUACUUGGUGUUACUGCGAAGGGGGGACGGAGAAGGCUAUGUUGGCCGGGCGACGGUUGUCCCGGUUUAAGCGUGUAGGUGUGUGUUCCAGGUAAAUCCGGUUCACUUUAACACUGAGGCGUGAUGACGAGGCACUACGGUGCUGAAGCAACAAAUGCCCUGCUUCCAGGAAAAGCCUCUAAGCAUCAGGUAACAUCAAAUCGUACCCCAAACCGACACAGGUGGUCAGGUAGAGAAUACCAAGGCGCUUGAGAGAACUCGGGUGAAGGAACUAGGCAAAAUGGUGCCGUAACUUCGGGAGAAGGCACGCUGACACGUAGGUGAAGUGAUUUACUCACGGAGCUGAAGUCAGUCGAAGAUACCAGCUGGCUGCAACUGUUUAUUAAAAACACAGCACUGUGCAAACACGAAAGUGGACGUAUACGGUGUGACGCCUGCCCGGUGCCGGAAGGUUAAUUGAUGGGGUCAGCGCAAGCGAAGCUCCUGAUCGAAGCCCCGGUAAACGGCGGCCGUAACUAUAACGGUCCUAAGGUAGCGAAAUUCCUUGUCGGGUAAGUUCCGACCUGCACGAAUGGCGUAAUGAUGGCCAGGCUGUCUCCACCCGAGACUCAGUGAAAUUGAACUCGCUGUGAAGAUGCAGUGUACCCGCGGCAAGACGGAAAGACCCCGUGAACCUUUACUAUAGCUUGACACUGAACAUUGAGCCUUGAUGUGUAGGAUAGGUGGGAGGCUUUGAAGUGUGGACGCCAGUCUGCAUGGAGCCGACCUUGAAAUACCACCCUUUAAUGUUUGAUGUUCUAACGUGGACCCGUGAUCCGGGUUGCGGACAGUGUCUGGUGGGUAGUUUGACUGGGGCGGUCUCCUCCUAAAGAGUAACGGAGGAGCACGAAGGUUGGCUAAUCCUGGUCGGACAUCAGGAGGUUAGUGCAAUGGCAUAAGCCAGCUUGACUGCGAGCGUGACGGCGCGAGCAGGUGCGAAAGCAGGUCAUAGUGAUCCGGUGGUUCUGAAUGGAAGGGCCAUCGCUCAACGGAUAAAAGGUACUCCGGGGAUAACAGGCUGAUACCGCCCAAGAGUUCAUAUCGACGGCGGUGUUUGGCACCUCGAUGUCGGCUCAUCACAUCCUGGGGCUGAAGUAGGUCCCAAGGGUAUGGCUGUUCGCCAUUUAAAGUGGUACGCGAGCUGGGUUUAGAACGUCGUGAGACAGUUCGGUCCCUAUCUGCCGUGGGCGCUGGAGAACUGAGGGGGGCUGCUCCUAGUACGAGAGGACCGGAGUGGACGCAUCACUGGUGUUCGGGUUGUCAUGCCAAUGGCACUGCCCGGUAGCUAAAUGCGGAAGAGAUAAGUGCUGAAAGCAUCUAAGCACGAAACUUGCCCCGA
RNAcentral lists this ribosomal RNA (1546 nucleotides) under Salmonella enterica. Its description in RNAcentral is "partial 23S ribosomal RNA". It matches the Rfam family "Bacterial large subunit ribosomal RNA", at positions 1273 to 2802 of the family's 2925-position model. The record is from RNAcentral. RNAcentral also lists the same sequence under 5 other names. Lineage: Bacteria; Pseudomonadati; Pseudomonadota; Gammaproteobacteria; Enterobacterales; Enterobacteriaceae.